Molecule: transfer RNA, 70 nt
Filed under: Platevindex sp. CL-2014
Lineage: Eukaryota; Metazoa; Mollusca; Gastropoda; Systellommatophora; Onchidiidae
Description: tRNA-Met
Source: RNAcentral
UUUCAAGGUAAGCUAAAUUUUUAAAGCUACUGGGCUCAUAACCCAGACAUGGUUGACUCCCCUUGAAAAC